UACAGAGGUCUCAAGCGUUGUUCGGAUUCAUUGGGCGUAAAGGGUGUGUAGGUGGCGCCGUAAGUCGGGUGUGAAAUUUCGGAGCUUAACUCCGAAACUGCAUUCGAUACUGCGGUGCUUGAGGACUGGAGAGGAGACUGGAAUUCAUGGUGUAGCAGUGAAAUGCGUAGAGAUCAUGAGGAAGACCAGUGGCGAAGGCGGCGAUCUGGACGAUGACUGACGCUGAGACGCGAAAGCGUGGGGAGCAAACAGG
Molecule: ribosomal RNA, 253 nt
Filed under: uncultured bacterium
Lineage: Bacteria
Description: partial 16S ribosomal RNA
Rfam family: Bacterial small subunit ribosomal RNA
Source: RNAcentral